Molecule: long non-coding RNA, 369 nt
Filed under: Brassica napus (rape)
Lineage: Eukaryota; Viridiplantae; Streptophyta; Magnoliopsida; Brassicales; Brassicaceae
Description: long non-coding RNA (BNAP_LNC020032)
Source: RNAcentral
CUAUGACUGCUCAUUCGAGGGGGAGCUUACGUAGUUGUACUCUUUUUACCUUACUAUGGUUUUUCCCAUUGGGUUUUCCUAGAAAGGUUUUUAACGAGGCAACAUAGACGUUAAGCGAGAGUGGAUGGUGACACCGGUCCCCAAGGGGGAGUGUUAUGAAAGAUUAGCCGCAAACGUUGAAAAAUAUAAAAGAUAUGGGGCCCGCUGCACUAUUUGCACAGUGAAUUUCUCUUCUAUAUAAACGAUCGUUUCGAUCGAUUGUAAUCACACCAUUCCUUCUUCUUCUAAUAACACAUCCUCUCUUGCUAUCAGUGUUAUCUUCUCAUACGGGUAUAAAAUUUUGCCCUUAUUUAAAUUUCUUCGAUACAA